GGAUCGGGAGGCUGCCAUUCGGGACGGUGGCCAUGAAUUGAUCCAGACCGCGCUGUCUCUGACGUGCAAGAUGCCGGAGCCCGGCGGCAUCCUUG
Alphaproteobacteria bacterium MedPE-SWcel is the source of this 95-nucleotide non-coding RNA. NCBI's taxonomy places the organism in Bacteria, Pseudomonadati, Pseudomonadota, Alphaproteobacteria. The record is from Rfam.